This 430-nucleotide ribosomal RNA is filed under the name uncultured bacterium. RNAcentral describes it as "bacterial SSU rRNA". It matches the Rfam family "Bacterial small subunit ribosomal RNA", at positions 958 to 1392 of the family's 1533-position model. The record is from RNAcentral.
AACGCGAAGAACCUUACCUACCCUUGACAUGGAUGGAAUCCCUGAGAGAUUGGGGAGUGCUCGAAAGAGAACCAUUACACAGGUGCUGCAUGGCUGUCGUCAGCUCGUGUCGUGAGAUGUUGGGUUAAGUCCCGCAACGAGCGCAACCCUUGUCAUUAGUUGCUACGAAAGGGCACUCUAAUGAGACUGCCGGUGACAAACCGGAGGAAGGUGGGGAUGACGUCAAGUCCUCAUGGCCCUUAUGGGUAGGGCUUCACACGUCAUACAAUGGUACAUACAGAGGGCCGCCAACCCGCGAGGGGGAGCUAAUCCCAGAAAGUGUAUCGUAGUCCGGAUUGUAGUCUGCAACUCGACUGCAUGAAGUUGGAAUCGCUAGUAAUCGCGGAUCAGCAUGUCGCGGUGAAUACGUUCCCGGGCCUUGUACACACCG